CGUAACGCGUGGGAAUCUGCCUUUAGGUUCGGAAUAACUCCUCGAAAGGGGUGCUAAUACCGGAUGAUGUCUUCGGACCAAAGAUUUAUCGCCUUUAGAUGGGCCCGCGUUGGAUUAGCUUGUUGGUGGGGUAAAGGCCUACCAAGGCGACGAUCCAUAGCUGGUCUGAGAGGAUGAUCAGCCACACUGGGACUGAGACACGGCCCAGACUCCUACGGGAGGCAGCAGUGGGGAAUAUUGGACAAUGGGCGCAAAGCCUGAUCCAGCAAUGCCGCGUGAGUGAUGAAGCCUUAGGGUUGUAA
RNAcentral lists this ribosomal RNA (302 nucleotides) under uncultured Sphingomonadaceae bacterium. Its description in RNAcentral is "bacterial SSU rRNA". It matches the Rfam family "Bacterial small subunit ribosomal RNA", at positions 109 to 428 of the family's 1533-position model. The record is from RNAcentral. Lineage: Bacteria; Pseudomonadati; Pseudomonadota; Alphaproteobacteria; Sphingomonadales; Sphingomonadaceae.